GACAGAGGGUGCAAACGUUGCUCGGAAUUACUGGGCGUAAAGCGCGUGUAGGUGGUCACGCAAGUCAGGUGUGAAAGCCCAGGGCUCAACCCUGGAAGUGCACAUGGUACUACGUGGCUGGAGUACUGAAGAGGAGAGCGGAAUUCCCGGUGUAGAGGUGAAAUUCGUAGAUAUCGGGAGGAACACCAGUGGCGAAGGCGGCUCUCUGGGCAGAUACUGACACUGAGACGCGAAAGCGUGGGUAGCAAACAGG
RNAcentral lists this ribosomal RNA (253 nucleotides) under uncultured bacterium. RNAcentral's name for it is "partial 16S ribosomal RNA". It matches the Rfam family "Bacterial small subunit ribosomal RNA", at positions 524 to 776 of the family's 1533-position model. The record is from RNAcentral.